GACGAACCGUGCGAACGUUAUUCGGAAUCACUGGGCUUAAAGCGCGUGUAGGCGGGCCGGCACGUCGGUCGCUGAAAUCCCCCGGCUCAACCGGGGAACGGGCGCCGAUACGACCGGCCUGGAGGGGGGUAGGGGGCGCCGGAACUCACGGUGGAGCGGUGAAAUGCGUUGAGAUCGUGAGGAACGCCCGUGGCGAAAGCGGGCGCCUGGACCCCGCCUGACGCUGAGACGCGAAAGCCAGGGGAGCGAACGGG
RNAcentral lists this ribosomal RNA (254 nucleotides) under uncultured bacterium. Its description in RNAcentral is "partial 16S ribosomal RNA". It matches the Rfam family "Bacterial small subunit ribosomal RNA", at positions 524 to 776 of the family's 1533-position model. The record is from RNAcentral.